GACGAACGCUGGCGGCGUGCUUAACACAUGCAAGUCGAACGAUGAAGCCGGAGCUUGCUCUGGUGAAUUAGUGGCGAACGGGUGAGUAACACGUGAGUAACCUGCCCUUGACUCUGGGAUAACUGCUAGAAAUGGUAGCUAAUACCGGAUACGACCCUCGGCGGCAUCGCCAGGGGGUGGAAAGAAUUUCGGUCAAGGAUGGACUCGCGGCCUAUCAGCUAGUUGGUGAGGUAACGGCUCACCAAGGCGACGACGGGUAGCCGGCCUGAGAGGGUGACCGGCCACACUGGGACCGAGACACGGCCCAGACUCCUACGGGAGGCAGCAGUGGGGAAUAUUGCACAAUGGGCGCAAGCCUGAUGCAGCAACGCCGCGUGAGGGAUGACGGCCUUCGGGUUGUAAACCUCUUUUAGUAGGGAAGGAGCGAAAGUGACGGUACCUGCAGAAAAAGCACCGGCUAACUACGUGCCAGCAGCCGCGGUAA
This 484-nucleotide ribosomal RNA is filed under the name uncultured bacterium. RNAcentral describes it as "partial 16S ribosomal RNA". It matches the Rfam family "Bacterial small subunit ribosomal RNA", at positions 28 to 523 of the family's 1533-position model. The record is from RNAcentral.